GAUGAACGCUGGCGGCGUGCCUAAUACAUGCAAGUCGAGCGAACAGACGAGGAGCUUGCUCCUCUGACGUUAGCGGCGGACGGGUGAGUAACACGUGGAUAACCUACCUAUAAGACUGGGAUAACUUCGGGAAACCGGAGCUAAUACCGGAUAAUAUAUUGAACCGCAUGGUUCAAUAGUGAAAGACGGUUUUGCUGUCACUUAUAGAUGGAUCCGCGCCGCAUUAGCUAGUUGGUAAGGUAACGGCUUACCAAGGCAACGAUGCGUAGCCGACCUGAGAGGGUGAUCGGCCACACUGGAACUGAGACACGGUCCAGACUCCUACGGGAGGCCGCAGUAGGGACUCUUCCGCAAUGGGCGAAAGCCUGACGGAGCAACGCCGCGUGAGUGAUGAAGGUCUUCGGAUCGUAAAACUCUGUUAUUAGGGAAGAACAAAUGUGUAAGUAACUAUGCACGUCUUGACGGUACCUAAUCAGAAAGCCACGGCUAACUACGUG
RNAcentral lists this ribosomal RNA (497 nucleotides) under uncultured bacterium. Its description in RNAcentral is "partial 16S ribosomal RNA". It matches the Rfam family "Bacterial small subunit ribosomal RNA", at positions 28 to 507 of the family's 1533-position model. The record is from RNAcentral.